GGACAGGUGGCUGAGUGGUCGAUAGCGUUGCUCUCGAAAAGCAAAGUGGGGGUAACUCCACCGUGGGUUCGAAUCCCACCCUGUCCGCCA
Molecule: transfer RNA, 90 nt
Filed under: Alphaproteobacteria bacterium
Lineage: Bacteria; Pseudomonadati; Pseudomonadota; Alphaproteobacteria
Description: tRNA-Ser
Rfam family: tRNA
About the family: Transfer RNA (tRNA) molecules are approximately 80 nucleotides in length. Their secondary structure includes four short double-helical elements and three loops (D, anti-codon, and T loops).
Source: RNAcentral